UCCUUGUUCCCUGCCGACUCUUCCUGGUUUGUUUCUCUUCCUGGUUCCCUGAGGAGUCCUUCUAGUCUCAGCUGACUCGUUGUGGUCCCAACUCUCUGCUCCUGGUUCUCUGCGGUGUCCUCCUGGUUUGUUUCUCUCCUGGGUUCCCUGCGGAGACCUCCUGGUCUCAGCUGACUGGUUGU
Molecule: long non-coding RNA, 182 nt
Organism: Salarias fasciatus (jewelled blenny)
Lineage: Eukaryota; Metazoa; Chordata; Actinopteri; Blenniiformes; Blenniidae
Exons: 3
Source: RefSeq, a predicted model, not a curated record